GCGAAUAGGCUGGGGGAGGUGGAUGUUGCUCUUUGCAUGGAGCUGCAAAGGAGGCAUGUGGCAGAACAGGGACUCUCAGGGAGGCACAAAGCAGUGAGCAGAUAACUGCGUUUCUUCAGGCGAGCCACCUGCGGGGGGAGGGUCAGGAGGACCCAGUAGCUGACCCAGGGGCUGCUGCUUUCCCUUUCCAUCAGGCCCUGCUGCAGACUGGCCAUGGGCUCUGGUUUCCAUCUCAACAGAAAGGAAUAGUGCUCUGUCCCUAGCUUGCUGGGAGAGAAAAGCAGGUUGGGAAGGUCUGUGAAUGUUAUAAAGUGCUUUGGCCCAAAGGCUCUGGAGAUGCGUGCUGUAUUGAGAGUAACAGUGAAAGCACUGACUUGGGUGAUGAAAAGGAACCAGCUUGGUUUUCCAUGUCGGGUAGAUCCGGCCCCGUCUGCUCUGCAAGAUUAAAUUUAUUUCCAUCCUCCUAACUGAACUUUCUUUAAAUGGCGUUGGGGUGACAGGGACUGAAAUAGAUUUCCUACAGAGGCCCUCCCAAGUGGCACUGGACCCAGCAUGACUCUUGAUAACCCUUAUUCCCUGCCCACGGACGUUAUCUCUGUGGUGACAAACAGCCCUUUCUGGACAGAAGGAGGAAAUUCCACUCAUUAUUCAGCAACUGUUGGAGCCUGACUACAGUGCUCUAUCUCCUGUUUGGUACACCACUGUCAAGCUGUCAUUGUCAGGCAUUUCCUUUGCUGACAAUCAAUGCGAGACUUAUAGGAAGAGUAUGCUUCAUUCCUGGAUGCCCAGUGAGGUCCCAGCAUGAUCCAGCUCCAGAUAGCAAAUAAAGGUGUGAUGGUUCAUUUUAACUAUGGUCCCACUGGCUUGAAGAGUAUCCCCCUCAGCUUCUCUUCUCUGUGCAAUACUUUCCGUCUCAUAGACUAUGCUGCAUGCAAACAGAUGCCAGGGGCUAUGACCACUCUACACCCCUGGGUUGUCAAAUGCGGAGGGGGUGCUAGUUAAAUCCUUGCUAGAUAGGAAGGAUGCUUCAAGAUGGUUCCAGUACAGAAAACAUUGCCUAAAUAAUCUAUAUGAUCAUUAGCACUUUCUCUGGUGUAGCAUGGCCUUCUUAGGAGCUGUACAUGACAGAGGAUGAAUGUGAGCUAAUACAAAUUAUACUACAGACCUCUGCACCACGUAGCAUUCAGAUAGCGAGCACAUUUACACUAGUGUAUCUUACUGCAGUUUUGUGUACUGAUGGAAAGUACACCAGGUUCAAGAGGAGACAGACAAGAAGGCAUUUUGUAGCAGCUGUUCAUAUAGGCUGUUAAUUCAGACUUUCCCAAUAGGUUGUGAGGAGCAGGUAAUAGCUAGCAAAUGGUUACCCAGGGAUAGAGCAAACAAUGAUAAUAAAAUUUACAGUGCUGUCAUUUUAUUCCUGUUUUUUCCUCAAAGUAAUUUGAGACUAGAUUCUAGUAGGUGACUCUGAUGUUGGGUUGUUUGCCAUCCAUCUGUUCCUUGCUUUCACCAGCAUAGAGGCUGAUCAUUACACCCGUAUAUGUGUGUUGCCUCUUGAAGCCUUUCAACAGUGUAGUGCAGGGAAUCAGGCAUCAGACUGGAGUCAGCAGACCCAGGGUCUGAUCUUGGCUCAACCUGUGACCUUCAACAAGCUGUUUCCCCUUUUUGUGCCUCUAUUUCUCCAUCUGUAAAAUGGGGACAAAGAUGCUUGCACUUUGGAAGCAGAUAUACGUGUCUCAGAAAGGCCUAAGUAGCAUUUCCACUGGUGGACUGACAUAGCAUUUGAAGACUGCAAAAUAUUAUGGUUCUUGUGAGCUUAAUGAUUAGCCUCAUUUUUUAGAGGACUAAACUGAAGCAUGGAGAAUAAAAAAAGACUUGCCUUAUUUCAAAGCCAGGGAGAACCCCAGCUCUCUCACUUGCCAUUGCAAUGAUUUAAAUUACUAGACAAGACUCCCUGUCCUUGUAUUACCAAGUCAAGGAGAGCUGAGUAGGAAGAUGGUGAAAAGAAGAGUCUGUAACACCUGCCUGAUAAGCUAAAUUCUGGUUUGUCCUUCACUGAUGUUCUGCAGGAUCAGGAUGGGGAGAGAUACCUUCCCAUAGCCAGUCCGUCUGGACAGGACUUAAAAGGAACAAGAAAAGGUGGGUGGUAAGUCUCUAGCUUUCCUUUCUUCUUUCAGCCAUUGCACCCCCUUCUCUUGUUCAUUUUUUCCUAUUUUUAUUUAUUUUCCCAAAUAACUCCUUAUUUCAUUCCUUUGGCUCAGUAGGGGUUUAGGGAGAGAUGUCACAUCUCCAGUAAAUAAAGCAAGGGUGCAAAUGCCAGGAAAAGUCACCAACCUGGUUCAGAAAGGACAUAAGUAUCAGCAAAGGGGAUAGAAUAGAAAGUAUAGACUAAGCGCCAGAAGAAGCCAACCUUGCAGUGAGAUCUCUUAUUUUUUACUGUUGUGUAUUUGCAUUGCUCUAGUCCUGGAGCAGUGUUUGUGUUUGCACCAGUACUGUACACAG
Gavialis gangeticus (Gharial) is the source of this 2499-nucleotide long non-coding RNA. RefSeq lists it as uncharacterized. The transcript is spliced from 2 exons. Lineage: Eukaryota; Metazoa; Chordata; Crocodylia; Gavialidae. The record is from RefSeq and is a predicted model, not a curated record.